UACGUAGGGUGCGAGCGUUGUCCGGAAUUAUUGGGCGUAAAGGGCUCGUAGGCGGUUUGUCGCGUCGGGGGUGAAAACACCGGGCUUAACUCGGUGCUUGCUUUCGAUACGGGCAGACUAGAGGUAUGCAGGGGAGAACGGAAUUCCUGGUGUAGCGGUGAAAUGCGCAGAUAUCAGGAGGAACACCGGUGGCGAAGGCGGGUCUCUGGGCCGAUACUGACGCUGAGGAGCGAAAGCGUGGGGAGCAAACAGG
RNAcentral lists this ribosomal RNA (253 nucleotides) under uncultured bacterium. RNAcentral's name for it is "partial 16S ribosomal RNA". It matches the Rfam family "Bacterial small subunit ribosomal RNA", at positions 524 to 776 of the family's 1533-position model. The record is from RNAcentral.